Ictalurus punctatus (channel catfish) is the source of this 1596-nucleotide long non-coding RNA. NCBI's taxonomy places the organism in Eukaryota, Metazoa, Chordata, Actinopteri, Siluriformes, Ictaluridae. The record is from Ensembl.
AAGGGCUUUAAUGCCUCACACCUCUGAGGCGUCAUCUGCUAAAGGAAGGUAUCCACAUCUACUAGCGUUUCGUUUGGAGCCCUGGCUCAGCAGGUUGGCGGUCACCCCUUGAUCCUGGAAUCCCAGCAUGCCUUGCCAUCGGUGUUUGGGGUCGCAAGCCAGGCUUUGGUCCCUGGUGACAUAUGUGCUAGACAGGACCUUUUCUAAAGCACCGUCACUAAUUUAAAGACCUAAAUACCAUUAACUAACACUGGAGACCGUAUAACCAUAAUCUUUUUACGUUCUUAAGUGCUUCUGUUUUCGCAGUCUUAAAGGGCAAAGGCAACACAAGGCGAAUGUUAAUGUAUUACAUCAGUGGUCGUACUUUACUUCUUAUGACUGUCUAUUAAAUGCAUUUUAGUAAGCGCAUUUAUCAAAAUGUCACGAGUAACACAGUCCCCGUAACCUUUAAUAAUGUUGACAUGAUUCAUGGUAAUGGUGCUGUCUUCCAAUCCAAUUAUUUUAGUGAUUACUAGCACACGCUUGGCUCACCACAUACACUUCCUUAAGUUAUCAGGACACUAAUUGGUUAACAAGAUAUUGCAUUUUGCAGUCUUCUCCUUGGUCCUUGGGGAUUUCUCACCAUGCCAUCUGCUCAGAGCUAAUAGGAGAUAUAACGUUUCUGUAUCUCAGCAGCACACGGGCAUACGUUAACAUUACAGAUCCGAGAUGUUUCGAGUCAAAUGGAGUAAAGUCUGAUGCCUGAGUUUGUUUUUGUUUUUUUUAAUCAGAGCAAGAACUCACAUGUUUUAUGUACUUUGAGAGCUGUCCAGUGAAGAAUCAAUCUAGUGGAAACAUUAUUAUAGCAAUGUCAAACCACUAGGCCUUGUUUCAUGAUCUACGGGAGUAUUAAAUGUCUCCAUAAAACACAUCACGUAUCCUAAGCAGCAUGAUAUUUACAGCUUUUAGUGAGGUCUCAGGGCCUCAUAAAUUACAUUGAAAAGAACAUCCUGAAAUGAACAGGGUAUAUGAUUGCGCUUAGUCAACUAGUCCGUUUAUGCAUGGUUUAAAUCUCAGCUAAGCUCUGUCCUUGGUUAAGAGGAAUCAAGAUAACUUGCCAUGAUCAGAAACUACUUAAAAUGACCUUGCCAUUAAUGGAUGUUCAGGUUAUAACAGGGCUCUUGUGUGCAACUUGAAAUCUGUGCCUAUACUGACUGCAGAGAUUACGACCAUUUCAGUGGGAUUUCAUAAGAGCAGUGCACAUCCUUCAUGAGGAAUGGCCCAUAACAAGCUAUUAUCUCCUUCUCCUCUUGCUUUCACCAACAACCAGAAUGGAAUAUUACAAAUGGCUUGUGACAGGGUUCGGCAAGCAGGCCAACCGAUAACAAACCUGUCAGGACAGCUUCAGCAGGAAGAUAAAUUCUACGCCACGGUGCGCUAAAUGGAAGGCGCCACGGCAGCUGAUUAGGUCCUUAUCAGGGGUGCUUUGGCGCGAGCGUCUUUUUUCUCCCAUUUCACAUCUCUCCAAGGAGUCGACAUCAAAGGAGAUCACUGAGGUUGCUCUGGUUAGCCUGUCAGCUGUAUUUGAAGGAACGUGGUGGGAGGAUAGAAGCGGAG